Molecule: ribosomal RNA, 575 nt
Filed under: uncultured Enterobacteriaceae bacterium
Lineage: Bacteria; Pseudomonadati; Pseudomonadota; Gammaproteobacteria; Enterobacterales; Enterobacteriaceae
Description: bacterial SSU rRNA
Rfam family: Bacterial small subunit ribosomal RNA
Source: RNAcentral
ACGGGUGAGUAAUGUCUGGGAAACUGCCUGAUGGAGGGGGAUAACUACUGGAAACGGUAGCUAAUACCGCAUGACCUCGCAAGAGCAAAGUGGGGGACCUUCGGGCCUCACGCCAUCGGAUGUGCCCAGAUGGGAUUAGCUAGUAGGUGAGGUAAUGGCUCACCUAGGCGACGAUCCCUAGCUGGUCUGAGAGGAUGACCAGCCACACUGGAACUGAGACACGGUCCAGACUCCUACGGGAGGCAGCAGUGGGGAAUAUUGCACAAUGGGCGCAAGCCUGAUGCAGCCAAGCCGCGUGUGUGAAGAAGGCCUUAGGGUUGUAAAGCACUUUCAGCGAGGAGGAAGGGUUCAGUGUUAAUAGCACUGUGCAUUGACGUUACUCGCAGAAGAAGCACCGGCUAACUCCGUGCCAGCAGCCGCGGUAAUACGGAGGGUGCAAGCGUUAAUCGGAAUUACUGGGCGUAAAGCGCACGCAGGCGGUUUGUUAAGUCAGAUGUGAAAUCCCCGAGCUUAACUUGGGAACUGCAUUUGAAACUGGCAAGCUAGAGUCUUGUAGAGGGGGGUAGAAUUCCAGG